GCUAGCUACAGGCUUAACACAUGCAAGUCGAGGGGAAACGACAUCGAAAGCUUGCUUUUGAUGGGCGUCGACCGGCGCACGGGUGAGUAACGCGUAUCCAACCUGCCCACCACUUGGGGAUAACCUUGCGAAAGUAAGACUAAUACCCAAUGAUAUCUCUAGAAGACAUCUGAAAGAGAUUAAAGAUUUAUCGGUGAUGGAUGGGGAUGCGUCUGAUUAGCUUGUUGGCGGGGUAACGGCCCACCAAGGCAACGAUCAGUAGGGGUUCUGAGAGGAAGGUCCCCCACAUUGGAACUGAGACACGGUCCAAACUCCUACGGGAGGCAGCAGUGAGGAAUAUUGGUCAAUGGGCGAGAGCCUGAACCAGCCAAGUAGCGUGCAGGAUGACGGCCCUAUGGGUUGUAAACUGCUUUUAUAAGGGAAUAAAGUGAGCCUCGUGAGGCUUUUUGCAUGUACCUUAUGAAUAAGGACCGGCUAAUUCCGUGCCAGCAGCCGCGGUAAUACGGAAGGUCCAGGCGUUAUCCGGAUUUAUUGGGUUUAAAGGGAGCGUAGGCCGUCUGUUAAGCGUGUUGUGAAAUGUAGAUGCUCAACAUCUGAAUUGCAGCGCGAACUGGCAGACUUGAGUGUGCGCAACGUAGGCGGAAUUCGUGGUGUAGCGGUGAAAUGCUUAGAUAUCACGAAGAACUCCGAUUG
Molecule: ribosomal RNA, 693 nt
Filed under: uncultured bacterium
Lineage: Bacteria
Description: bacterial SSU rRNA
Rfam family: Bacterial small subunit ribosomal RNA
Source: RNAcentral